UACGUAGGGGGCAAGCGUUGUCCGGAAUUAUUGGGCGUAAAGCGCGCGCAGGCGGCUUCUUAAGUCUGAUGUGAAAGCCCACGGCUCAACCGUGGAGGGUCAUUGGAAACUGGGAAGCUUGAGUGCAGAAGAGGAGAGUGGAAUUCCACGUGUAGCGGUGAAAUGCGUAGAUAUGUGGAGGAACACCAGUGGCGAAAGCGGCUCUCUGGUCUGUAACUGACGCUGAGGUGCGAAAGCGUGGGGAGCAAACAGG
This 253-nucleotide ribosomal RNA is filed under the name uncultured bacterium. RNAcentral describes it as "partial 16S ribosomal RNA". It matches the Rfam family "Bacterial small subunit ribosomal RNA", at positions 524 to 776 of the family's 1533-position model. The record is from RNAcentral.